This 73-nucleotide transfer RNA is filed under the name Candidatus Pacearchaeota archaeon. RNAcentral's name for it is "tRNA-Thr". It matches the Rfam family "tRNA". From Rfam's summary of the family: Transfer RNA (tRNA) molecules are approximately 80 nucleotides in length. The record is from RNAcentral. Lineage: Archaea; Nanobdellati.
GCCCCGAUGGCUCAGUUGGUAGAGCGUGUCCUUGGUAAGGACAAGGUCCCGAGUUCAAUCCUCGGUCGGGGCU